AGUAAUACAUAAGUAACCUGCCCUAGGACAGGGGGAUAACUAUUGGAAACGAUAGCUAAGACCGCAUAGGUACGGACACUGCAUGGUGACCGUAUUAAAAGUGCCUCAAAGCACUGGUAGAGGAUGGACUUAUGGCGCAUUAGCUGGUUGGCGGGGUAACGGCCCACCAAGGCGACGAUGCGUAGCCGACCUGAGAGGGUGACCGGCCACACUGGGACUGAGACACGGCCCAG
RNAcentral lists this ribosomal RNA (233 nucleotides) under uncultured bacterium. Its description in RNAcentral is "partial 16S ribosomal RNA". It matches the Rfam family "Bacterial small subunit ribosomal RNA", at positions 109 to 334 of the family's 1533-position model. The record is from RNAcentral.